AUUGAACGCUGGCGGCAUGCCUUACACAUGCAAGUCGAACGGUAACAGGUCUUCGGAUGCUGACGAGUGGCGAACGGGUGAGCAAUACAUCGGAACGUGCCUAGUAGUGGGGGAUAACUACUCGAAAGAGUGGCUAAUACCGCAUGAGAUCUACGGAUGAAAGCAGGGGAUCGCAAGACCUUGUGCUACUAGAGCGGCCGAUGGCAGAUUAGGUAGUUGGUGGGAUAAAAGCUUACCAAGCCGACGAUCUGUAGCUGGUCUGAGAGGACGAUCAGCCACACUGGGACUGAGACACGGCCCAGACUCCUACGGGAGGCAGCAGUGGAGAAUUUUGGACAAUGGGCGAAAGCCUGAUCCAGCAAUGCCGCGUGCAGGAUGAAGGCCUUCGGGUUGUAAACUGCUUUUGUACGGAACGAAAAGCCCCGGGUUAAUACCCUGGGGUCAUGACGGUACCGUAAGAAUAAGCACCGGCUAACUACGUGCCAGCCGCCGCGGUAA
This 498-nucleotide ribosomal RNA is filed under the name uncultured bacterium. RNAcentral's name for it is "partial 16S ribosomal RNA". It matches the Rfam family "Bacterial small subunit ribosomal RNA", at positions 30 to 523 of the family's 1533-position model. The record is from RNAcentral.